This 827-nucleotide long non-coding RNA is filed under the name Exaiptasia diaphana. RNAcentral describes it as "uncharacterized LOC110244040, transcript variant X2". The record is from RNAcentral. Lineage: Eukaryota; Metazoa; Cnidaria; Anthozoa; Actiniaria; Aiptasiidae.
AAUACGAACAUGGCUUAGUAUUCACAGUCACUUUGAUGGAGUCAGAGUGCGUUCGUGAAGCAUGGUUGAGUGGGAAAACGCUGUGUUACUAAAUGGANUACUAGGCUAUGGUCUUAUGAAAACAAACCAACUUAGGAACAGGAGAGCCGAGGCAACACCGCGACGAAGCUCCGAUGUAACACCGAGUCAACUCCGAUGUAGGGCCGACGCAGCUCCGAUGUUACAACGAAGCAGCUAUUGGGCACGUCACAGUUUACGAGACGAAUCUAACGAUUAAAAUAGAGAGAAAACACUUUGACAAUUGUGUUAAGCUAUGGUAAUUCCUUUGUUUUCUACAGUCUAAUCUUCACUAUAUUGCGCUGUUUAGCAUUAUUUGGUUAGUUCUUUUUCACGCUUUUAGUGUUUUUUAUCAACUUUACACUUAGUACACUUUGUUUUUCACGGUUUCAUGAAGACAUUCACUGUUUCACGCCCCACCUCUGACAUCAUAGUCUAUGUUUUCCUUUAGUUGCAUUUAAAGUUUAAUACGAAAACAUUCUGUCAUCCCUCUCGCCCUAAACUAGACAGGUAUCUAUAAAACCUAUUGAAGCUAGUGUUUAACGACGAAAGAUUACUCUAUUAUGCUUNAUUUGUGUGAUUUACACCCUAAUAAAGCACUGGCAACCACUUAAAGGCAAUCACAUAUAUCUCUACUANGCGUAAACUCAGCGCUAAAACUCAGUCAAAACCCNUGCCUNUUAUGGCAUAUUGCGGUAUAAAAGUUUUAGUAUUUUGAAUAAAAAUGGGGCAUAAAUAGAAACGAAGGAACUUGAAUAAAAAAUUUUAUU